This 766-nucleotide ribosomal RNA is filed under the name Salmonella enterica subsp. enterica serovar Indiana. RNAcentral describes it as "partial 23S ribosomal RNA". It matches the Rfam family "Bacterial large subunit ribosomal RNA", at positions 545 to 1244 of the family's 2925-position model. The record is from RNAcentral. Lineage: Bacteria; Pseudomonadati; Pseudomonadota; Gammaproteobacteria; Enterobacterales; Enterobacteriaceae.
AGAACCUGAAACCGUGUACGUACAAGCAGUGGGAGCACAGGUUUACCUGUGUGACUGCGUACCUUUUGUAUAAUGGGUCAGCGACUUAUAUUCUGUAGCAAGGUUAACCGAAUAGGGGAGCCGGAGGGAAACCGAGUCUUAAUUGGGCGUUAAGUUGCAGGGUAUAGACCCGAAACCCGGUGAUCUAGCCAUGGGCAGGUUGAAGGUUGGGUAACACUAACUGGAGGACCGAACCGACUAAUGUUGAAAAAUUAGCGGAUGACCUGUGGCUGGGGGUGAAAGGCCAAUCAAACCGGGAGAUAGCUGGUUCUCCCCGAAAGCUAUUUAGGUAGCGCCUCGUGAAUUCAUCUCCGGGGGUAGAGCACUGUUUCGGCUAGGGGGCCAUCCCGGCUUACCAACCCGAUGCAAACUGCGAAUACCGGAGAAUGUUAUCACGGGAGACACACGGCGGGUGCUAACGUCCGUCGUGAAGAGGGAAACAACCCAGACCGCCAGCUAAGGUCCCAAAGUCAUGGUUAAGUGGGAAACGAUGUGGGAAGGCCCAGACAGCCAGGAUGUUGGCUUAGAAGCAGCCAUCAUUUAAAGAAAGCGUAAUAGCUCACUGGUCGAGUCGGCCUGCGCGGAAGAUGUAACGGGGCUAAACCAUGCACCGAAGCUGCGGCAGCGAACGUAUCACCCAAGACAACUUUGCGGAGUUGACGAUUGACGGAGCGAAGCGACGUCAAAGCGUUCAUUAAAGUCGAGUUGGCUUAGGGAUACGUUCGUU